Molecule: ribosomal RNA, 478 nt
Filed under: uncultured bacterium
Lineage: Bacteria
Description: partial 16S ribosomal RNA
Rfam family: Bacterial small subunit ribosomal RNA
Source: RNAcentral
AACAAACGCUGGCGGCGUGCCUAAUACAUGCAAGUCGAACGGGGAAAGCUUUCGGGUAAGUACUAGUGGCGCACGGGUGAGUAACGCGUGGAUAAUCUGCCUUUGAGUGGGGGAUAACUAGUCGAAAGAUUAGCUAAUACCGCAUAAGACUACAGGAACUGAGGUUCUAGGGGUUAAAGGUUUUUCGCUCAUAGAUGAGUCCGCGUGAGAUUAGCUAGUUGGUGGGGUAACGGCUCACAAAGGCGACGAUCUCUAACUGGUAUGAGAGGAUGAUCAGUCACACUGGAACUGAGACACGGUCCAGACUCCUACGGGAGGCAGCAGUAGGGAAUAUUGCACAAUGGAGGAAACUCUGAUGCAGCGACGCCGCGUGAGUGAUGAAGACUUUCGGGUCGUAAAGCUCUGUCGCAGGGGAAUAACACAAUGAAUGUACCCUGUAAGAAAGGAUCGGCUAACUUCGUGCCAGCCGCCGCCGUAA